CUCCCUACUAUAUCUGCUAUCCCACAGUCACACUCCCUUCCCAGAGACUAUUAUCCCGCUAUUACAGGUGCUGCUGUGCUAACUGGGCAUUUAAAAACUAUUUAUUUGCAUUAUUGUGCAUUCCACAAUCAUCCUACAUAGAACUGUUGCUCUCUGAGUGUCCCAUGGGCAGUCUUUCAUACUUUACCCCUAAACCGAUCCCUGAGAGCUGUACAAGUACACUUUACUUACUGCACAUAAUAAGAGACAGGCUAUUAACAUAGACCCCCACACAGUCCUUUCGGAGGUGGAUUAGCAUGCAUACUUUUCCCAUAAAUUAGAAAUUCUAAUCAGUCUGCAAUAAAGACUCCUCGGGUAAGAUUAUACCCAGCUCCCAACAAUGCUGACCAUUAUCCAUUUAGAUUUUUUCUACAAUAUUCCUCUCUGGGCUGGAUUGCAUGUACUGACUUCUAAAAGAACAUUGUUGUGGGAGGUAUAGAAAAAAACAUUUUUUGCGACUAAAUAUAUUCAAUUAUUUAUACUGUGUUGUUGUUUUUUUUCAGCAACACCAAAGGUCCAGCUACAAAUACAGAUUAUUCGUUGCAUGUAGACGUAAGUGACCUAUGCAAAUUAUGCCUUGUUUAGAAAUAGCAAAAAUAUUUCCUAUUAUUGCUCUGCAUCCUUACAUUUAAAAUUCUUAGCCCCAUCAACCAGAAAGCAGAUUUAUUAAAUGUGAAUUGUUAUAUUUGUUGAAUUUUACGUAGACACUUUUUCUUUCAAACAAUGACCAGUAACUGGAAUUGGUGAACUUAGAAACAAAAUAGUUUAAAUUUCAUAAUGGACAAUUAACACUGGAAAUGAUGUGCCAUUCGAAUACAGGGAACCAAAAGAAUUGUUUGAUUUCCAGUCCCUUAUAUUGUACAAGAUUGUGACUUGCUGUCUCAGCCUCAAUACGAUAUCUCUCUUCUAGGGUUUCUCUGGGGCUGCAGUGGAUCAAUAGGACUCUACUUUCUGUCUCCAACAACUAUGUUCUCCUUUCUCAGAAACUACUUUCCCUCUUCAACACACUUCUACCCACUUUCUUACAAUCUCCACCAUCUACAUCUACUGAAUAUUAGUAAUGCUGUAGGAUAUAGAAAUUAACAUUUUAGGGGUAAAAACAGAUAUGAAUCACAAGGAUACUACCCUUCUACCACCAGUCAUUUUGUUUUUAGCGCUCAGUGAUCUCCUAGAAGGAUGAGGGUCCCUUGGUACUUCACUAGUGGACGUUCCUUUGCGGUAGAUCCUCAAUGGUCCCUCAUCUGGUGUAGCUAUCUCCAACCUGUGUUUUGUGAGCAAAGUGUUUUUGCCCCUCUUUGCACAGAGUAGGAAAUCUCUGUGUCUAAAAAAUCUUGUCUGACUGUCAACGGCUGAUGCCCUUGUUUUACUCUUCUCUACUGUAACAUCUUGUCAUCAACUUCUUGAUCCACCGUUGCCAUGCUGCCCUACAUUUUCGAUAUAAACAUUCUACCUGCCAGGCCCCAGAGCAACCCUGUGUUAUUGUGUUUACUUGGACCUCCUAAAGACAGAUCUAAUAGAAUGAACAUCCUAUCUGCACAAAAGAAAAAUACAUGAAGUGCAUCUAUUUUCUGUGGGGAUGGAUGAGGGGUCAUAGUGAGACAGACUAAUGCAAGCUGUUUAAUCUUGCUUUAUAACUUUCUCUUGAUCGAGAGUCUCUAUAGAAUAUACUGUAGUUCCUUGUUCAGAGUGAACAUCCAUAAAAUGUGCCGACAGACAGAAAAUACGUUACCUGUAAUUUAUACAAUUUCCUGCUACAAAUGGGUGGCUUUGAGGAAUGCAGAACUGAAUAUUUUCAAACCAAGUGCCAGUCUGAAUCAACAUCCUGGGAUUUACAGUAUUGGAGCAAUCAGAGCAGCUAAUGGGUUCUCACUACUCCCAGCAUCCUAUGCAGGCCAACACGGCUCCCAGAUCCUCACACAUUGUGAAAUGUCAUCAUAUCUUGUCGUAGCACCAAAAUGCUAAGAUAACCCAUAUAUUCCUGUUUUCUUGAAGGUUUGCUGCCCCCAACCACUGUCUUUUUUUGGGAUCUGUUUGAUUACUUCCUGUCCAAACUUUCCACCCUGUUUUUUCAUGAUGGCUUCCUCCUUGUCCUUUCAUACUCAGGAACCUAGUGGUAACUCUGGCUCAACCCAAACGAAUAAAGGGGGCACUAUUGGUGAAAAGAGUGCAAAGAGGAGAAGGCCACAUAGAAACAUAUUUGGCUGAUAUUAGGGAUGCACUGAAUCCAGUAUUCAAUUCGGGAUUCAACCAGGAUUCUGCCUUUUUCAACAGGAUUCGGAUUAAGUCGAAAUCCUCGUGUAUGGCUGAACUAAAUCCACAUAUGCAAAUUAGGGGUGGGAAGGAAAAUCACAAGACUUUUCGUCACAAAACAGUAGUAAAAUAUUUUUUCCUUUCCCUCCAGUAAUUUGCAUAUACAAAUUAGGAGUCGGUUCGGUAUUCGGACACAUCUUUCACAAAGGAUUCGGGGAUUCAGCCUAAUCCCAAAUAUUGGAUUCGGUGCAUCCCUAGUUGAAAUAUCGAAGCAAACUACAAUUCCCAGUAUUCUCACUGGACAAGUAUCUUCCAGUUCCUUUGCAGACAGAGUGACGCAGACGAUUUCAGACAAUCUGGCGCCAAAAUGGUUCAAUUCAUAUACAGUACAAUAAAAAAAGUUUCUCUUCCGUCAUAACAUUUUACACUUUUUUGCCACAUUCUUUCCCUGCAGGGCUAAGCUAUAAAGACACUGAAUAGGAUGAAUCAUGUAUAGAAUGUAGGCAGUUUACAGUUUCCCCUGAUCACUUAUAAAAAUCAGACUACUUUGGAAAAUAAAAAAAAAAUCAUGAAAGUGAGUCUGACCGGCUGUCUGCAUGCUGAUAGAGCUUGGUGCAGGCAGCUGCAAUUUUUUAUUAAAACUGUUGAAUUCUGGACCUGUGGUUUUACGGUACGUGCACGUGAGAUAUUGUAAUAAAUUCAGAUAUUUGCAAUGAAUCUGAAAAGUUCUUUCUGAAAUAAACCUCUGAGAAUGCGACUAUUGAAAUGCUAAAUUGGACGUCCUGUAUGGCUGGAGCAUUGACACCUUCGCUGCUGUAUGAUUUUCUUGUCAGUGAUGGGUUUAGAGCAGGGGUCCCCAACCUUUUUUACUCGUGAGACACAUUUAAAUGUAAAAAAGUCUUGGAGAACAACACAAAUACAAUACAAAAGUGUAAGGGCUGUGAAUGACUGUGAAUGACUAUAUGGACUGACAGCCUACAGGAGGCUCGCUUUGGCAUUACACCUGGUCUUUAUGCAACUAAAACUUGCCUCCAAGCAGGGCCGGAACUAGGGGUAGGCUGAAGAGGCAUGUGCCUAGGGCGCAACGAAGUGGGGACGCCAAGCACAUACCUCUUCUCUCAUCUACCCCUGGUCUGGACCCUUGUUCGGUGUCAGCUCACCUCUUUGCUUGCUCUUUGCGUGCUCUACUCUCCCCCUCCCUCAACGAAGUUAUAUUGUGCACGCAUGCACAAACUCACCGGCGUGGAUGCGUGCAUGCUCGCGGACACAUGUGCAUGCACACUCAUUAGCAUGCCGGCUAGGGUGUGAAGUGGCCGGCCUGGUUGCCUUGGGCCUUUGGCCCGUGCCUGCCCCCAAGCCAGGAAUUAAAAAAUAAGCACCUGCUUUGAUGCCACUGGGAGUAAUAUCCAAGGGGUUGGUAAACAACAUGUUACUUGCAAGCUACUGGUUGAGGAUCACUGGUUUAGAGCAACGUCGGGGGGGGGGGGAGAACACCAGUCCAUCAUGUUUAAACAUAAUCCAGGGAAAGGCAAACAAAACCUUCAGUAAUGGUACCACUUCAAAAUGUGUAUAAAAUAGAGAGUUAGCUCAGCACCUUCAGUCUUGAUUCAUUUUAAAAUUUUGUUUUGAAAUUUAAACACCUCCCCACACCCCUGCAUUGUGACAUCAAAGUGUGGGCAGGGGCAUUUAACUCCACUGUGUCGGUGUCUAUCAAAGUAUCCAGGUAACUGUAUCAAUCUCCAUUGUACAACAAAGGAAAUGUAACCAAAUGGUGCAGUUAUCCUAAAGUCUACAUUGUAAAUGAUUAUGCAUAAAAGAAAAGGGGGUGGACAAAUAGCCAUUACAUUCCUCUAUGCCUAUUAUAUGUAGGUAUAUAAUGAGAGACUCUCCUUUAAUUCAUGUGUUCAAUGAAUAGAUCUGCUUCCCUGGUAGAGAGGAGAAUUUUGUCAGUCACCCCUUCUGAUCCCUAAGUUAACUCUUUCAACAACUGCUACUUUCAGUCCCAUAGGAUCCCAGUUAUAUGCACAAUAAAAGUGUUUGCUCACAGGGGUCAGUCUCUUGGUCUUUUUUCUCUUGGAAUAAGUACUAUAAGGGUCAUCUUUGAUGUUAGAGAUGAGUUCCCCAAUCCUCGGUCUCAAAGUUUGGUUUUACCAAUAUAUUUUAGUUCACAAGGACAGGUGAUCAUGUCAAUCAGUGGCAUAGCUAGAUGUUCCUGGGCUCCACCACAAAUUAAUUUUAGGGCCUUAACAUAUCCAGAGAUAUGUUUUUUUUUU
This is a long non-coding RNA of Xenopus laevis (African clawed frog), 4562 nucleotides long. RefSeq lists it as uncharacterized. The transcript is spliced from 2 exons. The record is from RefSeq and is a predicted model, not a curated record. Lineage: Eukaryota; Metazoa; Chordata; Amphibia; Anura; Pipidae.